This 479-nucleotide ribosomal RNA is filed under the name uncultured bacterium. Its description in RNAcentral is "bacterial SSU rRNA". It matches the Rfam family "Bacterial small subunit ribosomal RNA", at positions 29 to 506 of the family's 1533-position model. The record is from RNAcentral.
ACGAACGCUGGCGGCGUGCUUAACACAUGCAAGUCGAACGGAUCUGAUGUAGCAAUAUGUCAGGUUAGUGGCGAACGGGUGCGUAACACGUGACCAAUCUGCCCCGGACUGGGGAAUAACGGAGGGAAACUUUCGCUAAUACCGCAUAUUGAGCGCGGGCUGCAUAGUCUGCGCUUGAAAGCUUCGGCGGUCCGGGAUGAGGUCGCGCCCCAUUAGCUUGUUGGCGGGGUAAUGGCCCACCAAGGCGACGAUGGGUAGCUGGUCUGAGAGGACGAUCAGCCACACUGGGACUGAGAUACGGCCCAGACUCCUAUGGGAGGCAGCAGUGAGGAAUAUUGCGCAAUGGGCGAAAGCCUGACGCAGCAACGCCGCGUGAGGGAUGAAGGUGCUCUGCAUUGUAAACCUCUGUAGGGAGGGACGAAUCGCCCGGUCAUCCGGGCAUUGACGGUACCUCCAAAGUAAGCACCGGCUAACUCCGU